Molecule: ribosomal RNA, 484 nt
Filed under: Cryptops doriae
Lineage: Eukaryota; Metazoa; Arthropoda; Chilopoda; Scolopendromorpha; Cryptopidae
Description: partial 16S small subunit ribosomal RNA
Rfam family: Bacterial large subunit ribosomal RNA
Source: RNAcentral
GGCAGUCAGUGUUUAAAUUAAGCGUCAGGCCUGCCCGGUGAGUUUAGUAAACGGCCGCGGUAUUUUGACCGUGCGAAGGUAGCAUAAUCAAUUGUCUAUUAAUUGUAGACUUGUAUGAAUGGUUAGACAUAUCUUAACUUUCUUACAUGCUUAGCUGAAAUUAUAUUUGUGUUAAAAAUGGCACAGCGAUUGUUUGGGACGAGAAGACCCUAUUGAGCUUUACAGAUGAAUUACUAGUAAGGGUGGGUAAUAGUGGUAUACUUAUUUUGUUUUGCUGGGGCGGCAGACUAUGUAAAACGUAGUUAAUUAUUUGAUUUAAGAUCCACUAUACGUGAAUAGAAGAUUAAGUUACUGUAGGGAUAACAGCGUAAUGGAGUCUGAGAGUUCUUAUUGAUGAUUUGUUUGCGACCUCGAUGUUGAUUUAGGAUUUUCUGAAGAAGAAGAGAGUUUAAUGGGUAGUUUGUUCUACUAUUAAAUUCCUAUG